GAUGAACGCUGGCGGCGUGCCUAAUACAUGCAAGUCGAGCGAACGGACGAGAAGCUUGCUUCUCUGAUGUUAGCGGCGGACGGGUGAGUAACACGUGGAUAACCUACCUAUAAGACUGGGAUAACUUCGGGAAACCGGAGCUAAUACCGGAUGAUAUUUUGAGCCGCAUGGUUCAAAAGUGAAAGACGGUCUUGCUGUCACUUAUAGAUGGAUCCGCGCUGCAUUAGCUAGUUGGUAAGGUAACGGCUUACCAAGGCAACGAUGCAUAGCCGACCUGAGAGGGUGAUCGGCCACACUGGAACUGAGACACGGUCCAGACUCCUACGGGAGGCAGCAGUAGGGAAUCUUCCGCAAUGGGCGAAAGCCUGACGGAGCAACGCCGCGUGAGUGAUGAAGGUCUUCGGAUCGUAAAACUCUGUUAUUAGGGAAGAACAUAUGUGUAAGUAACUGUGCACGUCUUGACGGUACCUAAUCAGAAAGCCACGGCUAACUACGUG
RNAcentral lists this ribosomal RNA (497 nucleotides) under uncultured bacterium. RNAcentral describes it as "partial 16S ribosomal RNA". It matches the Rfam family "Bacterial small subunit ribosomal RNA", at positions 28 to 507 of the family's 1533-position model. The record is from RNAcentral.